RNAcentral lists this ribosomal RNA (253 nucleotides) under uncultured bacterium. Its description in RNAcentral is "partial 16S ribosomal RNA". It matches the Rfam family "Bacterial small subunit ribosomal RNA", at positions 524 to 776 of the family's 1533-position model. The record is from RNAcentral.
UACGAGGGGGGCAAGCGUUGUUCGGAAUUAUUGGGCGUAAAGGGCGCGUAGGCGGUGCGGUAAGUCUGAUGUGAAAUCUCCGGGCUCAACUCGGAGUCUGCAUCAGAAACUGCCGUGCUUGAGUGUGGGAGAGGUGAGUGGAAUUCCCGGUGUAGCGGUGAAAUGCGUAGAUAUGUGGAGGAAUACCGAUGGCGAAGGCAGCCCCCUGGGAUAACACUGACGCUCAUGCACGAAAGCGUGGGGAGCAAACAGG